GAUGAACGCUGGCGGCGUGCCUAAUACAUGCAAGUCGAGCGAACAGACGAGGAGCUUGCUCCUCUGACGUUAGCGGCGGACGGGUGAGUAACACGUGGAUAACCUACCUAUAAGACUGGAAUAACUUCGGGAAACCGGAGCUAAUACCGGAUAAUCUAUUGAACCGCAUGGUUCAAUAGUGAAAGACGGUUUUGCUGUCACUUAUAGAUGGAUCCGCGCCGCAUUAGCUAGUUGGUAAGGUAACGGCUUACCAAGGCAACGAUGCGUAGCCGACCUGAGAGGGUGAUCGGCCACACUGGAACUGAGACACGGUCCAGACUCCUACGGGAGGCAGCAGUAGGGAAUCUUCCGCAAUGGGCGAAAGCUUGACGGAGCAACGCCGCGUGAGUGAUGAAGGUCUUCGGAUCGUAAAACUCUGUUAUUAGGGAAGAACAAAUGUGUAAGUAACUAUGCACGUCUUGACGGUACCUAAUCAGAAAGCCACGGCUAACUACGUG
Molecule: ribosomal RNA, 497 nt
Filed under: uncultured bacterium
Lineage: Bacteria
Description: partial 16S ribosomal RNA
Rfam family: Bacterial small subunit ribosomal RNA
Source: RNAcentral